UCUGUUAUGACUUUGUAGUGGGCUCUAUCAACUGUCCAGGGCAAAGUCGGUCUACCCUGAUGGCACUACCUGUUACCCUGACCUCAACGUAGUGGGUGUGGACUACAGGAGCCCUGAUGUCAAGAAUUAAUAUAGACGGUGAUGGUGGCAAGGGUGCCUCCAUAAGGUGCCAGAAUUCCCAGCCUGGAGCCAGAGGCUGCUAUUGCAAGUCAUAUGGGGGAUGAUCUAUGUUAGGCGUCAGAAAGGUGGUGUACGCAGGAAGACAAGGCAAAGAUGUGAUUAGACUACCUUCAAUAAGACAGGGCAACAGACACAUGACAGAAAGUGACUGGGAGAGAGAGACUUUGAAUGGACUGGCCUGAAACUGAACUGGGUUUCCAAGUUUAUGGUUGAGUUUAAAUGUUAAUGCUGUUAUCAACUGUACUUUUAUCAAAUUGCUCAUGUAUGAUGACUGGAUUUACUGCUUUUUAACUUUGUAUACAUUUUAAAUAAAUUUAAGAUUAAAUGUUCAAGAUUGUGUUCAUUCCAUCUCAUUAUACUGUAGCAGUAAAUGUGUAACACAAAAACACAUACAGUAGUGAUAGAUGUUCUAUGUAAGUAAUGAUAAAGUACUAAGUGAGUAAUUUGUUUAAAAUUGUCAGCAUUAUAUUCUUUAAACUUGUUUGCUUCUUAAAAAGGCUUUCUGCCAUCUAAAAAAUGAGCAUAGCAUAAUUCAACAUAAUUGAUGGGUCAGAUAAACCCAAUUAAAGAAGUUAAUCUAAACCAUUAUUGGGUCAAAAAGACACAGUAAUAUUCUGGGUCACUGUAACCCAACAUCCUGGUCAGAAUGACCCAAUAUAACCCAAUAUAUGGGUUGACUUUCUUACCCAUAUAUUGGGUUAAAUAACCAACCCAACAUGCUAGGUCAUUCUAACCCAAGACGUUUGCUGUCCAA
This is a long non-coding RNA of Sardina pilchardus (European sardine), 934 nucleotides long. RefSeq lists it as uncharacterized. NCBI's taxonomy places the organism in Eukaryota, Metazoa, Chordata, Actinopteri, Clupeiformes, Clupeidae. The record is from RefSeq and is a predicted model, not a curated record. The transcript is spliced from 4 exons.